Musca domestica (house fly) is the source of this 1518-nucleotide long non-coding RNA. RefSeq lists it as uncharacterized. NCBI's taxonomy places the organism in Eukaryota, Metazoa, Arthropoda, Insecta, Diptera, Muscidae. The record is from RefSeq and is a predicted model, not a curated record. The transcript has 2 exons.
UCAACAUUGCCAACACUGCUGCCGAGUGUAAUUUCUUCUCUGCUGGCUGACUGACUGGCUGGUUGUUGCCAUCUCCAUCUAUCCGUGUAUCUGUGAGGUAAAUGCGUUCGUCGCCUCACUAAUGUUGCUUGCCGGCAUCAACAGCCAAAUUGAGGUUCGUUUGUGUUGGUUUAGUUUCGGUUGCUUGGGUGUGUGUGUGUGUGUGUGCGCACCGUGUAUCCGUGUGUGUGGAGUGUGUGACUGUGUUGGGUUCACAUUUCGUUUGCUGGCUGGUGGUGCUCGUUCUGCUGCCUUCAAACUUUUGGUAACUCUCCUACCUCAGUGUUCAAAUACGUUCCUAACCGUGAGCAACCAAAGAAUUUGUUUCGUUUCGUUUUUGUUUUUCUGUUCUCUGUUUAACACCUUUUCUGUUGUGUUCAUUCAUCAUCAUCUGCUGAGUGUGCAAACGGCUAACGGCUAUCCAUCCGAACCAAAACCAAUUCAACCUACUUCCAUUCAGCGCCACAGCCUGUUCGGUGUUGGAAAUCAUUCUGUUUUCGUCUUCUCAUCAUCAGCAACAUCAUCAUCGUCGUCAUUAUCAUUCUCAGCUCGACGUGACAACACUCGAAUCGCGCCGCAACCCAAGAAAAGCCGCCAAAAAUUUGUUAAAAAAAGAAAACAACGGGAAAAUUUAAUUAUUUAUUUUUGUUUAAAAAAAUUCUGCAACUAUUGUGUCAUCUAAACAAAACAACAACAAAAAACACAACAAAAUUAAUUUCCAAUUCUGUGAAAAAUUGCCAAGUUGUCAAGUGUAAAGAUACGUCCGAAAAUAUCUUUGAAAAAAUUCAAAUAAUUUUUUAAGUUUUUUAAAAAAAAUGUUGAGCAACCAAAAAAGUUGACAUCAUUACUUCUCACAAAACGAAACACUUCAGCCAAGUAUUUUGAAAAAAAACGAAAAAUCCGCUCCUUUCUAAUCGAACGCAGCCAAAAAAGAACAGUUCGUACCAACAUUAUGUGGAAUUAUUAACAAAACUUAACAUAACAAAAAAAAUUAAAACUAUCACCAAAAAAAUUACAAAAUUUGACCCAAAAUAAAACUAAAUUUUCACUUUAGUGUCGCAGUGUCUGUCUUGUUUCGGAUUCCAAAUACUCGUACCGACCAACCAACAACAAAAAUACAAUUUUAAGAAUUAAUUAAAGAAACAUAACAAAAAAGAAUUAACUAAAAUAUAAUAAAUAGAGGUACCUCUACCUACUACCAACACAGAGUUAAAUAAGAAAAAAACAUAAUUUUUUUUAUAAAAAAAACUAACACACACACAGACACACGAACCUACAAAUUCGUUGGUAUCUUUCGUUCUCUCCCGCAGUUGGUGUUGUGUUGCUAUUUGAACACACAAAUGUUGGCAUAUAAACAAAAUUAAAAAAAAAAAAAACAAAAGAAAUCUGAAAAUUUAAAGCCAGUCGUUCGACAAAGAAUUCAAAAUUGAAAUUUCUUGAAAUUGGCCCAAGAACAAAAUUAAAAGCAACGGCGUUUUU